UACGUAGGUGGCAAGCGUUGUCCGGAUUUACUGGGUGUAAAGGGCGUGCAGCCGGGCUGACAAGUCAGAUGUGAAAAUCCAGGGCUCAACUCUGGACGUGCAUUUGAAACUAUUGGACUUGAGUACCGGAGAGGUUAUCGGAAUUCCUUGUGUAGCGGUGAAAUGCGUAGAUAUAAGGAAGAACACCAGUGGCGAAGGCGGAUAACUGGACGGCAACUGACGGUGAGGCGCGAAAGCGUGGGGAGCAA
This 248-nucleotide ribosomal RNA is filed under the name uncultured Oscillibacter sp. RNAcentral's name for it is "partial 16S ribosomal RNA". It matches the Rfam family "Bacterial small subunit ribosomal RNA", at positions 524 to 771 of the family's 1533-position model. Lineage: Bacteria; Bacillati; Bacillota; Clostridia; Eubacteriales; Oscillospiraceae. The record is from RNAcentral.